GUGGGGAAUAUUGGACAAUGGGGGGAACCCUGAUCCAGCCAUGCCGCGUGUGUGAAGAAGGCCUUUUGGUUGUAAAGCACUUUAAGCGAGGAGGAGGCUACCGAGAUUAAUACUCUUGGAUAGUGGACGUUACUCGCAGAAUAAGCACCGGCUAACUCUGUGCCAGCAGCCGCGGUAAUACAGAGGGUGCAAGCGUUAAUCGGAUUUACUGGGCGUAAAGCGCGCAGAGGUGGCCAAUUAAGUCAAAUGUGAAAUCCCCGAGCUUAACUUGGGAAUUGCAUUCGAUACUGGUUGGCUAGAGUAUGGGAGAGGAUGGUAGAAUUCCAGGUGUAGCGGUGAAAUGCGUAGAGAUCUGGAGGAAUACCGAUGGCGAAGGCAGCCAUCUGGCCUAAUACUGACACUGAGGUGCGAAAGCAUGGGGAGCAAACAGGAUUAGAUACCCCGGUAGUUC
Molecule: ribosomal RNA, 451 nt
Filed under: uncultured bacterium
Lineage: Bacteria
Description: partial 16S ribosomal RNA
Rfam family: Bacterial small subunit ribosomal RNA
Source: RNAcentral